GAACCGCAUGGUUCUUGGCUGAAAGAUGGCGUAAGCUAUCGCUUUUGGAUGGACCCGCGGCGUAUUAGCUAGUUGGUGAGGUAACGGCUCACCAAGGCAAUGAUACGUAGCCGAACUGAGAGGUUGAUCGGCCACAUUGGGACUGAGACACGGCCCAAACUCCUACGGGAGGCAGCAGUAGGGAAUCUUCCACAAUGGACGCAAGUCUGAUGGAGCAACGCCGCGUGAGUGAAGAAGGCUUUCGGGUCGUAAAACUCUGUUGUUGGAGAAGAAUGGUCGGCAGAGUAACUGUUGUCGGCGUGACGGUAUCCAACCAGAAAGCCACGGCUAACUACGUGCCAGCAGCCGCGGUAAUACGUAGGUGGCAAGCGUUAUCCGGAUUUAUUGGGCGUAAAGCGAGCGCAGGCGGUUUUUUAAGUCUGAUGUGAAAGCCCUCGGCUUAACCGAGGAAGUGCAUCGGAAACUGGGAAACUUGAGUGCAGAAGAGGACAGUGGAACUCCAUGUGUAGCGGUGAAAUGCGUAGAUAUAUGGAAGAACACCAGUGGCGAAGGCGGCUGUCUGGU
This 564-nucleotide ribosomal RNA is filed under the name uncultured Bacilli bacterium. RNAcentral describes it as "bacterial SSU rRNA". It matches the Rfam family "Bacterial small subunit ribosomal RNA", at positions 183 to 733 of the family's 1533-position model. The record is from RNAcentral. Lineage: Bacteria; Bacillati; Bacillota; Bacilli.